GAAAAUCCGGGUGGGAACAAGGAGCAGGAGCUCAUUACAGGGACAAUGUUGCCGCUGAGAUACAAGUAAAACUAGCGUGUGCUGCAGUGUGUGAGAGGAGAGAAAAAACAGUGGGGGCUCAACAAAAGCAGCGGAUGUAGCAGGUUCUUAGGCAAGGCCCCCACUGAUGAGAGCCUCUGGCUGUGGGCCAGGCUCAGGUAGCCACAGAAAGCUCACAGCACAGCCCCCAGCUGAACCGCAAGCCUCUGCCCCACCGUCCCCACCUCAGAGCAAAGAAGAAACUUGAAGCAGACGCUGCUCCCCAAAAGCAGUGCCCCAAAAUAUGCUGGGGCAGGCACCAUGGGCAAGGCUGUCUCCUUCUGGCCCUGCCGUCCUGCUGCUGGUGAUCUGUGGCAGCAUGAGCUCCCAGGACAUCUGCAGCUCCCCAGGGGAUCUUCCAGCUCCUGCUUUCCAAAUGAACUUAACUUCUGCUCAGCCAGGUACCACAGUUGUGCUCCAGUGUAUUCUCCAUGUGUUUUCACAUACAAGACGAAUCAUCUUCUGCAAGGAUGGGAAGGAGGUGUACAGCCAGGAAGCCCAGCAAGGGCAGCUGAGCUACUUCACAGUCCUGAACAUCACGUCAAGAAGCGCAGGAAGAUAUACAUGUGGGUACCAGCAGAGGAAUGAGAUGAAACAGAGGAGGAGCUCUGCCCUCAGUGCUGGCCGCAUCCUGAAUGUCCCUGGUGAGUCAUGGCCCUGGGCUGGAGGGGUGAGAAGGGACGGAGGCAC
This 768-nucleotide long non-coding RNA is filed under the name Anas platyrhynchos platyrhynchos (common mallard). RNAcentral describes it as "lncRNA (ENSAPLG00000020536.1)". Lineage: Eukaryota; Metazoa; Chordata; Aves; Anseriformes; Anatidae. The record is from RNAcentral.